RNAcentral lists this ribosomal RNA (253 nucleotides) under uncultured bacterium. RNAcentral's name for it is "partial 16S ribosomal RNA". It matches the Rfam family "Bacterial small subunit ribosomal RNA", at positions 524 to 776 of the family's 1533-position model. The record is from RNAcentral.
UACGUAGGGGGCAAGCGUUGUCCGGAUUUAUUGGGCGUAAAGAGCGUGUAGGCGGCCAGGUAGGUCCGUUGUGAAAACUCGAGGCUCAACCUCGAGACGCCGAUGGAAACCAUCUGGCUAGAGUCCGGAAGAGGAGAGCGGAAUUCCAGGUGUAGCGGUGAAAUGCGUAGAUAUCUGGAGGAACACCGGUGGCGAAGGCGGCAUCCUGGACCAAUACUGACGCUGAGGAGCGAAAGCCAGGGGAGCAAACGGG